This 484-nucleotide ribosomal RNA is filed under the name uncultured bacterium. Its description in RNAcentral is "partial 16S ribosomal RNA". It matches the Rfam family "Bacterial small subunit ribosomal RNA", at positions 28 to 523 of the family's 1533-position model. The record is from RNAcentral.
GACGAACGCUGGCGGCGUGCUUAACACAUGCAAGUCGAACGAUGAAGCUAGAGCUUGCUCUGGUGAAUUAGUGGCGAACGGGUGAGUAACACGUGAGUAACCUGCCCAGAACUCUGGGAUAACUGCUGGAAACGGUAGCUAAUACUGGAUACGACCUACGAAGGCAUCUUCUGUAGGUGGAAAGAAUUUCGGUUGGGGAUGGACUCGCGGCCUAUCAGCUUGUUGGUGAGGUAAUGGCUCACCAAGGCGACGACGGGUAGCCGGCCUGAGAGGGUGACCGGCCACACUGGGACUGAGACACGGCCCAGACUCCUACGGGAGGCAGCAGUGGGGAAUAUUGCACAAUGGGCGCAAGCCUGAUGCAGCAACGCCGCGUGAGGGAUGACGGCCUUCGGGUUGUAAACCUCUUUUAGUAGGGAAGAAGCGAAAGUGACGGUACCUGCAGAAAAAGCACCGGCUAACUACGUGCCAGCAGCCGCAGUAA